RNAcentral lists this ribosomal RNA (564 nucleotides) under uncultured bacterium. RNAcentral's name for it is "bacterial SSU rRNA". It matches the Rfam family "Bacterial small subunit ribosomal RNA", at positions 359 to 917 of the family's 1533-position model. The record is from RNAcentral.
GGGAUUUGGNCAUGGGCGCAGCCUGNUCCAGCAAUGCCGCGUGCAGGAUGAAGGCCUUCGGGUUGUAAACUGCUUUUGUACGGAACGAAAAGGUUGUCUCUAAUAAAGACGGCUCAUGACGGUACCGUAAGAAUAAGCACUGGCUAACUACGUGCCAGCAGCCGCGGUAAUACGUAGGGUGCGAGCGUCAAUCGGAAUUACUGGGCGUAAAGCGUGCGCAGGCGGUGAUGUAAGACAGAUGUGAAAUCCCCGGGCUCAACCUGGGACCUGCAUUUGUGACUGCAUCGCUAGAGUACGGCAGAGGGGGAUGGAAUUCCGCGUGUAGCAGUGAAAUGCGUAGAUAUGCGGAGGAACACCGAUGGCGAAGGCAAUCCCCUGGGCCUGUACUGACGCUCAUGCACGAAAGCGUGGGGAGCAAACAGGAUUAGAUACCCUGGUAGUCCACGCCCUAAACGAUGUCAACUGGUUGUUGGGUCUUCACUGACUCAGUAACGAAGCUAACGCGUGAAGUUGACCGCCUGGGGAGUACGGCCCGCAAGGUUGAAACUCAAAAAAAUUGACGGA